This 394-nucleotide transfer-messenger RNA is filed under the name human gut metagenome. It matches the Rfam family "transfer-messenger RNA". Rfam says of the family: Bacterial tmRNA, also known as 10Sa RNA or SsrA, is named for its dual tRNA and mRNA-like properties. Its role is to liberate the mRNA from a stalled ribosome. The record is from RNAcentral.
GGGGACGUUUUGGAUUUGACAGGACGUUCGGUUGAGAUAGGCUGCGGGUGCGGGCGCUGUUCCCGCUUAUCAACGAGCAAACUAAAUUAAAUGCUAACGAUAAUGUAAUCAAAGCAGACUUCUCUAGAGCUUAUGCUUUAGCUGCGUAGUCGCUUUUAGCUACUCAUAACGCCCAGCUUGCCGGUAUUAUGGGUCCAUUAUGCAAGCGGCAGUGCAUUAAUGACGGUAGAUGCAUCAAGAUAACCGUUAACGGUUAGUGUUUCCAUUAAAAAACACUUUGGAUUAUGAUUCAAGGUUUUGAUAUUCCCUUAGUAGUCCGAGAUAAUUAAUAUCUACACUCGUAGAAGUUUAUCAAGAUCCGUUUUGGACAGGGGUUCGACUCCCCUCGUCUCCA